UACGUAGGGAGCGAGCGUUACUCGGAAUCACUGGGCAUAAAGGGCGUGUAGGCGGGUGUAUAAGUCCGGUGUGAAAUCCCUCGGCUCAACCGGGGAACGGCAUCGGAUACUGUACGUCUAGAGUGCGGGAGAGGAGAGUGGAACUCUUGGUGGAGCGGUGAAAUGCGUAGAUAUCAAGAGGAACGCCGGUGGCGAAAGCGGCUCUCUGGUCCGUUACUGACGCUGAGGCGCGAAAGCUAGGGGAG
Molecule: ribosomal RNA, 245 nt
Filed under: uncultured bacterium
Lineage: Bacteria
Description: partial 16S ribosomal RNA
Rfam family: Bacterial small subunit ribosomal RNA
Source: RNAcentral